UUGACCUGCGGAAGGAUCAUUA
RNAcentral lists this ribosomal RNA (22 nucleotides) under Auricularia mesenterica. RNAcentral describes it as "partial 18S ribosomal RNA". The record is from RNAcentral. Lineage: Eukaryota; Fungi; Basidiomycota; Agaricomycetes; Auriculariales; Auriculariaceae.